Molecule: ribosomal RNA, 429 nt
Filed under: Verrucomicrobiota bacterium
Lineage: Bacteria; Pseudomonadati; Verrucomicrobiota
Description: Verrucomicrobia bacterium partial 16S ribosomal RNA
Rfam family: Bacterial small subunit ribosomal RNA
Source: RNAcentral
UAGGGAAUCUUCCGCAAUGGACGAAAGUCUGACGGAGCAACGCCGCGUGAGUGAAGAAGGAUUUCGUUUCGUAAAACUCUGUUGUUAGGGAAGAAAAAAUGUAUAGUAACUAUAUACAAAAGAGACGGUACCUAACCAGAAAGCCACGGCUAACUACGUGCCAGCAGCCGCGGUAAUACGUAGGUGGCAAGCGUUGUCCGGAAUUAUUGGGCGUAAAGCGCGCGCAGGUGGUUUAGAAAGUCUGAUGUGAAAGCCAACGGCUCAACCGUGGAGGGUCAUUGGAAACUAAUAAACUUGAGUGCAGGAGAGAAAAGUGGAAUUCCUAGAGUAGCAGUGAAAUGCGUAGAGAAUAGGAGGAACACCGGUGGCGAAAGAGGCUUGUUGGCGUGCAACUGAAAAUGAGGCGCGAAAGCGUGGGGAGCAAACAGG